AAGGUAACCGUUAGAGUUUGUAUCCUGGCUCAGGAUGAACGCCGGCGGUGUGCCUAAUACAUGCAAGUCGAACGCGUUGGCCCAAUUGAUUGAUGGUGCUUGCACCUGAUUGAUUUUGGUCGCCAACGAGUGGCGGACGGGUGAGUAACACGUAGGUAACCUGCCCAGAAGCGGGGGACAACAUUUGGAAACAGAUGCUAAUACCGCAUAACAACGUUGUUCGCAUGAACAACGCUUAAAAGAUGGCUUCUCGCUAUCACUUCUGGAUGGACCUGCGGUGCAUUAGCUUGUUGGUGGGGUAAUGGCCUACCAAGGCGAUGAUGCAUAGCCGAGUUGAGAGACUGAUCGGCCACAAUGGGACUGAGACACGGCCCAUACUCCUACGGGAGGCAGCAGUAGGGAAUCUUCCACAAUGGGCGCAAGCCUGAUGGAGCAACACCGCGUGAGUGAAGAAGGGUUUCGGCUCGUAAAGCUCUGUUGUUAAAGAAGAACACGUAUGAGAGUAACUGUUCAUACGUUGACGGUAUUUAACCAGAAAGUCACGGCUAACUACGUGCCAGCAGCCGCGGUAAUACGUAGGUGGCAAGCGUUAUCCGGAUUUAUUGGGCGUAAAGAGAGUGCAGGCGGUUUUCUAAGUCUGAUGUGAAAGCCUUCGGCUUAACCGGAGAAGUGCAUCGGAAACUGGAUAACUUGAGUGCAGAAGAGGGUAGUGGAACUCCAUGUGUAGCGGUGGAAUGCGUAGAUAUAUGGAAGAACACCAGUGGCGAAGGCGGCUACCUGGUCUGCAACUGACGCUGAGACUCGAAAGCAUGGGUAGCGAACAGGAUUAGAUACCCUGGUAGUCCAUGCCGUAAACGAUGAGUGCUAGGUGUUGGAGGGUUUCCGCCCUUCAGUGCCGCAGCUAACGCAUAAGCACUCCGCCUGGGGAGGCCCCU
This 935-nucleotide ribosomal RNA is filed under the name Limosilactobacillus fermentum. RNAcentral describes it as "bacterial SSU rRNA". It matches the Rfam family "Bacterial small subunit ribosomal RNA", at positions 1 to 886 of the family's 1533-position model. Lineage: Bacteria; Bacillati; Bacillota; Bacilli; Lactobacillales; Lactobacillaceae. The record is from RNAcentral.